UCGUAGAGGCGCAGAGAAAACAAAACAUUUUCUGACUGAAGCCGCUGAACUGCUCAACUCCAGGUCCGUCGCGAGAUCUCUCCGUUUGGGUCCAAUCGGUGACGGAAGUCGUGUCGCCAAGACAGACGAUCGAGAUCGCGAUUCCUCUCCGUUUGGGAUCGUGCGAUCCGGAAUGCAGCCCCGCCCUGAUCCAUUAGCCGAUAAUAUGCAGAAUUUGAAUCUUAAUCGGCCGCCUUCCAUGCCUAAUUCUGCCACUCCAACCGUCACCGUCACCCUUCCCGCUCGGGCCCCGCCUACUGUGCCUCUG
This 307-nucleotide long non-coding RNA is filed under the name Malus domestica (apple). RNAcentral describes it as "long non-coding RNA (MDOM_LNC010999)". Lineage: Eukaryota; Viridiplantae; Streptophyta; Magnoliopsida; Rosales; Rosaceae. The record is from RNAcentral.